GGGGUUGUAGCUCAGUGGUACAGCACUUGCCUGGAAUGUACAAGGCUCUGGGUUCAAUCCCCAGCACCUCA
This 71-nucleotide transfer RNA is filed under the name Marmota marmota marmota (Alpine marmot). It matches the Rfam family "tRNA". From Rfam's summary of the family: Transfer RNA (tRNA) molecules are approximately 80 nucleotides in length. Their secondary structure includes four short double-helical elements and three loops (D, anti-codon, and T loops). RNAcentral also lists the same sequence under 1 other name. The record is from Rfam by way of RNAcentral. Lineage: Eukaryota; Metazoa; Chordata; Mammalia; Rodentia; Sciuridae.